Molecule: ribosomal RNA, 445 nt
Filed under: Ctenus cf. amphora
Lineage: Eukaryota; Metazoa; Arthropoda; Arachnida; Araneae; Ctenidae
Description: partial large subunit ribosomal RNA
Source: RNAcentral
AAACAUUUCUAUUAAAUAUAAUUAAUAGUAAAAUCUGCUCAAUGAAACUAAAUAGCCGCAAUAUGUGCUAAGGUAGUACAAUAACUCGUCUUUUAAUUAAAGACUACACAAAAGAUUUAACAUUUUAAGAAAUAUAAAUAUCUAAAUAUUUAAAUUUUACAAAUUUGUAAAAAAACAAUUAUACGAAAAAAAGACGAUAAGACCCUACUGAACUUAACUUAAGUUAAACUGGGGUAGUUGAUUAAAUACAUCUUAAUUUAAAUAUAUUUAUAUAAGACCUAUUAUAAAUAAACAAAAAGUCAAGUUACCAUAGGGAUAACAGCGUUACAACUCUUAAAGAUCUAAUUUUAAAAGAAAUCUGCGACCUCGAUGUUGAAUUAAUUUACUAGUUCACGCAAUAGUGAAAAAAGAAAGUCUGUUCGACUUUUAAAUAAUUACAUGAUCU